RNAcentral lists this ribosomal RNA (379 nucleotides) under uncultured organism. RNAcentral describes it as "bacterial SSU rRNA". It matches the Rfam family "Bacterial small subunit ribosomal RNA", at positions 526 to 896 of the family's 1533-position model. The record is from RNAcentral.
CGGGGGGAGCAAGCGUUGUUCGGAUUUACUGGGCAUAAAGGGCGCGUAGGCGGCCACCGCAAGUCGACUGUGAAAUCUCCGGGCUUAACCCGGAAAGGUCAGCCGAUACUGCGGGGCUAGAGGUGCAGAAGGGGCAACUGGAAUUCUCGGUGUAGCGGUGAAAUGCGUAGAUAUCGAGAGGAACACCUGCGGCGAAGGCGGGUUGCUGGGCUGACACUGACGCUGAGGCGCGAAAGCUAGGGGAGCGAACGGGAUUAGAUACCCCGGUAGUCCUAGCCUUAAACGAUGAAUGACUUGGUGUCUGGGGUUUUAUAGUCCCCGGGUGCCGUCGCUAAACGCUUUAAGCAUUCCGGCCUGGGGAGUACGGUCGCAAAGACUG